This 250-nucleotide ribosomal RNA is filed under the name uncultured prokaryote. RNAcentral's name for it is "partial 16S rRNA". It matches the Rfam family "Bacterial small subunit ribosomal RNA", at positions 525 to 775 of the family's 1533-position model. The record is from RNAcentral.
ACGGAGGAUGCGAGCGUUUCCGGAUUUAUUUGGUUUAAAGGGUGCGUAGGCGGGAAAAUAAGUCAGUGGUGAAAACCUUCAGCUUAACUGGAGACUUGCCAUUGAUACUGUUAUUCUUGAGUAUAGUUAAGGUAGGCGGAAUGUGUAAUGUAGCGGUGAAAUGCUUAGAUAUUACACAGGACACCAAUUGCGAAGGCAGCUUACUGAGCUAUAACUGACGCUGAUGCACGAAAGCGUGGGGAGCGAACAG